CUCUAUCAACUGUCAGCCGCUUUCAGCCACCUGCCAUGGUGAGUGGGACAUGCGGCGAGUGUAGGUCGUCCAAAGCAGAUCCGCAAUCAUUACUGCGCCGGGCCCUGUUGCCUAUUUCAAUCUGCUCUCCCCUUCUAGGGAUUUCACUUUGCCUGAGAGUCUUGUUGGUGCCCUUCUUCUUCUCCGAGAGUUCCAUCCCUUUCGACCUUAGGCGUUCUUCAAGUUGAUCCCCAUCUCUGCAUCUCUGCACCUCUCGGACCAGCCUAGGUUAGUUCCAGAACUCCCCUCUUCUCUCUUUUUUUUUCUUCCCUACUAUUCUUCUUCC
RNAcentral lists this long non-coding RNA (325 nucleotides) under Elaeis guineensis (African oil palm). RNAcentral's name for it is "long non-coding RNA (EGUI_LNC037563)". The record is from RNAcentral. Lineage: Eukaryota; Viridiplantae; Streptophyta; Magnoliopsida; Arecales; Arecaceae.